UUUCUAAGAAUUCAUUUUUCAUGAUUGCUUGAAGCAAUGUAAAAAACACAUUUCACUGGCUCUGAAAAAA
Molecule: small nucleolar RNA, 70 nt
Organism: Nannospalax galili (Upper Galilee mountains blind mole rat)
Lineage: Eukaryota; Metazoa; Chordata; Mammalia; Rodentia; Spalacidae
Product: small nucleolar RNA SNORD102
Exons: 1
Source: RefSeq, a predicted model, not a curated record